CCCAAUAGGAGCCCUUGACCUUCAGACUGGGGACUAUCAAUGGAGACACGGUGCUCUUCGUCUGACUAUGGGACUUCAGCCACCAGCCCCGAGAGCAGGAGGGUCUGGGUAUGAUUGGAAAAGCAUUGCUUUCUCCAUCUGCCCUGUGAGCCAGACAGACCCCUUCAUUUCCUUCUGCUCACAGCUCUGCGUUCUCCAAAUCAUCUACUCCUCAGCUGGCCAGAUGGAUCAGCCGUGACGCGGGGCCUCCCCCGGGUUCCAUGAAGAGCUGGGCUGUUUGAACGGGGCCUGAGACUGUUGACUGCUUCCUGAUGACUCAGUGUCCAUACGGGGAAUUUGUGGUGAGCAGUUAGGAGCUUGGGAGACUGCUGACCAUGGGGAUUAGCCAGUCUACCCACCUUCCCUGAACAUCAGCGCCCCAGAUAACAUUUGGGAAAGAUCUAGGUGCCCUUGGCCAGAGAGAGUGCUGACAGUGGCCACAGGAGGCUGUGUCUCCAUCAGAUUGGAAGUCAGUGAGUCCCCGGCAUGAGCCUUGUGUAGCCUGGAAAGGACUGGCCGGGGCCCCCUCGGAGUCUGAGCGGAGGACGGGUCCUCUGGUUUGGCCCACGUCACUUGGCAAGCACAUCAGAAGGAGGCUGACCUGGUCUUCAGGCCCACACACUGGGCGAGAUCUUGCACAACAGGGAAGGGGGACUGUGAGACCUGGACCGUGUCCACCUGCCCACUCAGGCCUUCCUGCCUCCCUCCCUCCCACCGCACAGAGCUUUGCUCAGUUUACCCAACGUGCCAGCCACAUGUCCAUCUCGAGGCAUUUCUUCUCUAAUUCUCGGAAGAACCUUCCUCCCCGCCGUUCACUUCUCCAGGCCCCUUUCAUCCUUUUUAACUCAAAGAGCCACCCGAGAGGGGCUUUCUCCAUCCCCCAACUGAAAGUGUAUUUCCCCCCUAUUUGGUUAUUCUCUAUCUUCACGUCUUUUAUGUUUCUUUCCAAGUUGUUGGCCAUAGAAAGUGUCAUUUCUUAUCUACUGCUUGCUUAUCUGUUUUCUUCUUGGUCUUCCCUGCUGGAUUGUAAGCUAGCCAAGGUUCAGGACUGUGUGGAUCUUGCUCACCAUCAGAUACCAGCAACCAGGGCAGUGCCUGGCAUCUGGCAGGGCUAGGGGCUCAGUAACUAUUUGCUGAGGGAGGGUGGGAGCUGAGCCAUUGCAGCCGUCUCUAAACCAGAGCCAUACCCUGCAUAUUCUCCCAUGGCCUGCUUUACUCACGCAAUAUUGUUUCCAGGAUUGCUGGAGACGCGGCAGUACUUUUUAUUGCUGCAUGGUAUUCCAUUGAAGAACUGUCUUACCAUUUAUGAACUGUAUUGUUCUUGGGGUUUCAGGCAUUUCUAAAUUUUGUUCCACAAACAACACUGGGGUG
This is a long non-coding RNA of Myotis davidii, 1410 nucleotides long. RefSeq lists it as uncharacterized. The record is from RefSeq and is a predicted model, not a curated record. NCBI's taxonomy places the organism in Eukaryota, Metazoa, Chordata, Mammalia, Chiroptera, Vespertilionidae. The transcript has 2 exons.